CCUACGCCCAACGGGUGCCCGAAAGGGCUGAGAUCAUACCGUUAUUACCGGAUCAGGAUAAUUCCUGCGUCGGGAAGGGCCUCCCUCUUUUU
RNAcentral lists this non-coding RNA (92 nucleotides) under Monoraphidium neglectum. RNAcentral's name for it is "TPP sequence". It matches the Rfam family "TPP riboswitch aptamer (THI element)". From Rfam's summary of the family: Vitamin B(1) in its active form thiamin pyrophosphate (TPP) is an essential coenzyme that is synthesised by coupling of pyrimidine and thiazole moieties in bacteria. The previously detected thiamin-regulatory element, thi box was extended, resulting in a new, highly conserved RNA secondary structure, the THI element, which is widely distributed in eubacteria and also occurs in some archaea. The record is from Rfam by way of RNAcentral. Lineage: Eukaryota; Viridiplantae; Chlorophyta; Chlorophyceae; Sphaeropleales; Selenastraceae.